ACUGAGCGACUUUACUUUCGCUUUCACUUUCACGCUUUGGAGAAGGAAAUGGCAACCCUCCAGUGUUCUUGCCUGGAGAAUCCCAGGGAUGGGGAAGUCUGGUGAGCUAUCUAUGGAGCUGCACAGAGUCGGACACGACUGAAGCAACUUAGCAGCAGCAACAGCAGUAAGGUAAGAGACAGAUUAAGAAUUCAAACCCAGAUCUGUACCAAUCCAUAUCUCUGUUCUCAGUUAAUUCCAGAGAUGUGUUUUUCAUAAAUCUGAGAAGGAUUUUUAUCCCUCUUAAAAUGUAGGUGGUGUGUAUGAGAGAUUCUCACACAUCCUGAACAGUGGCACAGAGACUAGGCAGAGAUCUAACCUACUAAAAACAGAAGCUAAAAACCAGGUAAGGUUUUAAAAACAGCAACAAUUUUAACAGUUACCUUUUUAUUUACUUAAAACUAAGAGGAGAACAGCAAAAAACAGACUAAUAGAACCCACACAAUUACCAAAUGUAGGCAAAGACCAGCUCUGUAGAAACUGUGUGAAAAGCAGGCACCCCCGGCCCCGGGCGGACUGUCCCCAGUGCGCCCUGGGGAGGUCAUACCAUCGAGCCAGAGGGUUGUUUUUCGGUCACGCACGGUCGGGGAAGUGAGCACACAGGGGUUAGCAGCGAUGUCAGCCACCCACCCGACCUGUCUAGAAACAAGGACAAAGGAGUCUAACACGUGCAUGAGUCAGGAGCUCGCACGAAAGCCGCCGUGGUGCAAUGAAGGUGAAGGCCGCCUUAGUCAGCAGCCAAGGUAGGAUCCCGAGGCCUCUCCAGUCUGCCAAGGGUCAACUACUGGCCUCUCUCGCCCGCCGCGCUGGGGAGGUGGAGCAUGGUCACACGUGUUAGGACCUGAAAGAUGGUGAACUAUGCCUGGGCAGGAUGAAGGCAGAGGAAACUCUGGUGGAGGAUCAUAGCAAUCCUGACGUGCAAAUCGGUUGUCUGACCUGGGUAUAGGGGCGAAAGACCAAUCAAACCAUAGAGUUGCUUGUUCCCUCCUAAGUUUCCCUCAGGAUAGCUGGCGCUCUCUCAAUGAACCCAUGCAGUUUUAUCCAGUAAAGUGAAUGAUUAGAGGUCUUGGAGCAGAAACGAUCCCAACUUAUUCUCAAACUUUAAAUGGGUAAGAAACCUGGCUCCCUGGUGUGGAGCCAGAUGUAGAAUGCGAGUGCAUACUGGGCCAUUUUUGGUACGCAGAACUGGUGCUGUGGGAUGAACGGGAUGCUGGGUUAAGGAGCCUGAUACUGACACUCAUCAGAUCCCAGAAAAGGUGUUGGUUGAUAUAGACAGCAGGACGGUGGCCAUGGAAGUCAGAAUCCACUAAGGAGUGUGUAACAACUCACCUGCCCAAUCAACUAGCCCUGAAAAAUGAUGGCGCUGGAGCGUUGGGCCCAUACCUGUCCAUAGCCAGCAGUCGGAGAGGCUCAAGAGGGAUGGGAGCUCGGGAAGGAGGUCACCCCUCCCCCACCCCACCCCCAUGGAUGGUAUGCCGCGAUGAGUAGGAGGUCCGAUGCAGUGAGCCUUGAAGCCUAGGACGUGGGCCCGGGUCGAGCCGCUGCAGGUGCAGAUCUUGGUGGUAGUAGCAAAUAUUCAAAUGAGAACUUUGAAGGCAGAAGUGGAAAAGGGUUCCAUGUGAAUAGCAGUUGAACAUGGGUCAGUCUGUCCUGAGAUAUGGGCAAGCACCAUUCCAAAAGGAUGGUCGACGGCCUCCGUUGCCCUCAGCCAAUCGAAAGGGAGUCGGGUUCAGAUCCCCAAAUCCGGAGUGGCAGAGAUGGACGCCGUGAGGCUUCCAGUGCAAUAAUGCAACCGAUCCCAGGGAAGCCUGUGGGAGCCCCGAGGAGAGUUCUCUUUUCUUUGUGAAGGGCAGGGCGUCCUGGUAGAAUUAGUGAGUAUAAGGUGUAGAAUAAGUGAGAGGCCCCUGGCGGGCCGCCCCACCCCCGCGUUUCUUGCGAGGGGGCGGGGCGGGAUCCUACAGCCUUGUGGGCAGCCAGUGAAAUACCACUACUUUGAUCCUUUAUUUUCCACUGACACAGUGAGGCGUGGGGAGGGGUCGGGGGUCGGGGGGCAUCCCCGAGGGGUUCUCACUUCUGGAGCCAAGCACCUGCACAACCGGCUCUGGGGACAGUGCCAGGUGGGGAGUUUGACGGGGGCGGUACACCUGUCAAAUGGUAAUGCAGGUGAGCGUUACCAAUAAGGUGAGCUCAGGGAGGACAGAAACCUCGCAUGGUGCAGAAGGGCAAAAGCUCGCUUGAUCUUGAUUUUUAGUACAAAUACAGACCAUGAAAGCGGGGCCUCACGAUCCUUCUGACCUUUGGGGUUUUAAGCAGGAGGUGUCAGAAAAGUUCAAUUCAGUUCAGUUCAGUCGCUCAGUCUUGUUUGACUCUUUUCGACCCCAUGAAUUGCAGCACACCAGACCUCCCUGUCCAUCACCAACUCCUGGAGUUCACUCAGAUUCACGUCCAUCGAGUCUGUGAAGCCAUCCAGCCAUCUCAUCCUCAGUCGUCCCCUUCUCCUCCUGAGCCCAAUCCCUCCCAACAUCAGAGUCUUUUCCAAUGAGUCAGCUCUUUGCAUGAGGUGGCCAAAGUACUGGAGUUUCAGCUUUAGCAUCAUUCCUUCCAAAGGAAUCACAGGGCUGAUCGCCUUCAGAAUGGACUGGUUGGAUCUCCUUGCAGUCCAAGGGACUAUCAAGAGUCUUCUCCAACACCACAGUUCAAAAGCAUCAAUUCUUCGGCGCUCAGCCUUCUUCACAGUCCAACUCUUACAUCCAUACAUGACCACUGGAAAAACCAUAGCCU
Molecule: ribosomal RNA, 2820 nt
Filed under: Ovis aries (sheep)
Lineage: Eukaryota; Metazoa; Chordata; Mammalia; Artiodactyla; Bovidae
Description: eukaryotic LSU rRNA
Rfam family: Eukaryotic large subunit ribosomal RNA (bases 1-2421)
Source: RNAcentral